This 72-nucleotide transfer RNA is filed under the name Haptophyceae sp. NIES-3900. RNAcentral's name for it is "tRNA-Ala". It matches the Rfam family "tRNA". From Rfam's summary of the family: Transfer RNA (tRNA) molecules are approximately 80 nucleotides in length. Their secondary structure includes four short double-helical elements and three loops (D, anti-codon, and T loops). Lineage: Eukaryota; Haptophyta. The record is from RNAcentral.
GGGGAUAUGGCUUAAUGGCAUAGCAGAUGCUUUGCAUGUAUUUGGUUGUUGGUUCGAUCCCAACUAUCUCCA